GCCACCGUAGCUCAGUCGGAAGAGCAGCUGAUUUGUAAUCAGCAGGUCGGGGGCUCGAUUCCCUCCGGUGGCU
This 73-nucleotide transfer RNA is filed under the name Thermoplasmatales archaeon I-plasma. It matches the Rfam family "tRNA". Rfam says of the family: Transfer RNA (tRNA) molecules are approximately 80 nucleotides in length. The record is from Rfam by way of RNAcentral. Lineage: Archaea; Methanobacteriati; Thermoplasmatota; Thermoplasmata; Thermoplasmatales. RNAcentral also lists the same sequence under 3 other names.